RNAcentral lists this ribosomal RNA (321 nucleotides) under uncultured eukaryote. RNAcentral describes it as "partial 18S ribosomal RNA". It matches the Rfam family "Eukaryotic small subunit ribosomal RNA", at positions 1470 to 1796 of the family's 1831-position model. The record is from RNAcentral.
CCCUUAGAUGUCCUGGGCUGCACGCGCGCUACACUGACACGUUCAACGAGUUUUGCCUGCUCCGAUGGGACUGGGUAAUCUUAUGAAAGCGUGUCGUGAUGGGGAUAGAUUAUUGCAAUUAUUAAUCUUCAACGAGGAAUUCCUAGUAAGUACAAGUCAUCAGCUUGUGCUGAUUACGUCCCUGCCCUUUGUACACACCGCCCGUCGCUCCUACCGAUUGGGUGAUCCGGUGAAUAACUCGGACUGCAGCUAUUCGGGAGACCGUUAGCUUGUGGAAAGUUUAGUAAAUCUUAUCACUUAGAGGAAGGAGAAGUCGUAACA